Long non-coding RNA from Falco peregrinus (peregrine falcon), 3446 nucleotides. RefSeq lists it as uncharacterized. NCBI's taxonomy places the organism in Eukaryota, Metazoa, Chordata, Aves, Falconiformes, Falconidae. The transcript is spliced from 3 exons. The record is from RefSeq and is a predicted model, not a curated record.
CCGGCCGCGGCUGCUCCGGCCGGCGGCCUCAGGCGAGCAUGGCUAAGGUCCGCGCUGCCUCGGCCGCCCGCGGAGCGGCCUGGCUAAGAGAUGGUGGAACAUAAUGGCAGGGAGGCUCUGCCGGGACUGAGGAGAAGGGUCUGCUUACACUGUGAAAACUGCCAAGCAUGACUGUUCAGGAUUUCCUCCUAGUUAUUGAGAAGCUGUCAGCUAGUUUUGGAACAGCAGCCACUGGCCACCAUAGACUUGGAGUGGACGGUCACAGAGAGCCAUGGCUCAGCUGCAUGGGCAGAGGCAGAUGUUGUCUGUGUGCUCCAGAUAUUUCUUUCUCCUAAAGUUAGAAACUAAGAAGUGAAAGAAGACACUGUACUAGAUAAUCCAAGCUAGUGGACUGAGAAAGGUGUAACUGGCACAGGUGCACCCUUGCUUUGGGAAGGUCUUUGCAGAUGUUGGAAGACUUUAUUGAACUGGGAAUGCUGCAUAGCUCACGGAGCCAAUGAGCUUGAGAAAUUCAACCCAGAAUACAAAGCAUGCUCAUACAUGCCUGCUUGGCAGGGCUCCUGCUGGUGCCCUUAGGACCAGCCAGGCAGCCUGGCACCGAAACAGCUGGGGACCGGGCACCCAGAGGUGAUGCCCUGCAACAAGCAGCCACCCGCUGUCACUGGUAGCAAGGCAUACCUGCACCUCUGUAGGAAAGUUCAACCAGGCAUUUGGUACUGGCAGCAGCAGUGCUUUUACUUCUGUCUUUCCACAGCCCACCCUGUAAAAUGGAAUAAGCACAUAAUAAAAUAGGGAUAAAGGGGAAUCCAAAACAUCCAGAGCUGGACUCUGAGCAAGACAUCAGAAGAACUAAGUUGAAGACCCUAGCAGCCAAUUAAGAAACCUUUGCAGCUGGAAAAAGCUCAGUCAGGUGCAGUGUUGUUUCCAGCAGCAGCGAUUUUUCUGCUCCUUUUCCUCUGUUUACCUCGGGAAACGCUGUCCUCACGGAGGAGGACAUCAGCAGCAGCUCAGCCUGUCUGUGGUUGCUGAUUUUGAGCUGCCCGUGAUGUUCUUCCAAAAAUCGAAGCAAAAAUAAAAAUAAAGGUGGCUUGCUGAUUCACAGCUAGCACAGCUUGGGAGUCUUUCAAGCAAUCUCAGACUUUCGGUGCUGGUACUUGGUAUCUCCUGCUGGAGGAAGGACAUUGGAUUCAUUGCCACCAAAAGCUACAGGAGAUGAGUCAGGAUUAUACAAAUUCCAUUUAGCUUGUGUAAGAACACUACUUUUUGUGUUGAAAACUUCCUUUGCUGCUGCCACAAAAAUACCUGCUGAACAAAACCCUAAAUGCAUCAAUUAGCAAACUGUCACCCAAAGUGUGCGACCGUUUUUGGGUAUUUGUGUGGUCUGGGCUGCAAGGGAGUGUGGGAGCAGUGGGGAAGGGGCCAGCUGGAGGGGGCUGGCGUUGAGGAAAGCAAACAAACUCAAGCGUCAGAAAAGCUUGUUGGCAGAGAAGUGUAUCAGGUUGAUGAAAAGCCUUCCAGAAAUGGUAAUAGACACCCAGACCCUGUGAUGAGUCAAACCAAAAAAUAACUUUGAUCACAGCUUUUCAUAAGACAUGAGAAAUGCAUGUAUAGUUUUGCAUUUGAGUAUUAAUAUGUAUAUACUGAUGUAAACCCUUGGAUUAAAUCCAGAAUAUUUAAAAUAUUGGCAAGCUCAUAUUUAUGUUAAACAGUUAAUAAUAAUAACAACAAAUAAUCCCCAAACCCCUUAACAAGCAAGCUUUGCUCUUAUAUACGUAAUUUUCCCUAGUGAUCAUUUAAGGAAAAUACGAUUUUACAAAUGGCUAGGAGACAUCUAAAUUCCUCAAAAUGCUAUACUGACUGUCGAGAGGUCCACUUAGUUCACUGCCUGCAGCUUGGCUCAAGGGGGGAAAACGAUUCCUUCCUAGAAAAGACAGGUGAUAUAAUCACCAUUUCCAUUUUUUUUUAGACUGCAAAUAUUGCUGCCUCUAUGGUGAUUCUUCCACUGAACACCAUUUAAUAACAACUGAGCUGGUUUCUGUACUAACAGCUGUCUGGGAAAUAAAUCAAGAAUGAGCAUAAGCCGCAGAGUUUCAGCAAUAUCUGCUUCUGUCCCAAGAAUUACUGACAGCAGGAGGGUGCAGCAAAAAAACUGAGUCUCUCUACACAGUUGCCACUUAAGUCAAUGGUGAACUCACCACUGAAAAUAAUUAACUUUUCAGUAAUGUGUAAAUGACUACUGUAAAUAAUUUUUACAUUUUAAAAAAAAGUAAGGUGUAAAUGUUUACUGGGCUUUGGCAUUACCCACAUAUGCACGCUCUGUUCUCGAUAACUUUGUGUGUAUUAGCAUGGCAAAAGGGAACAAAAUUGUUCUGCACUGGAACCACCUGCUCCCUGCCUGGUGAGCAUGCUACUGCCCUACAAAAGCCUUAAAAACACCCAACAAUCUAAACCACUAAAAAUGCUUUAGAACACAUCUGGGGUAGGGAAACGCUUCUGCUCACACAAGGCAUCACCUUGUGGCAUGCCCCACUGCUAAUCUGAAGUACCUGGUGCUGGAAACACCCCUCUGCGGUUUGACAAAUGAAGGCAGGAGAUGCAGGAGGAUCAAGUGCUACAGAAGAGGGAGGGGAGGAACCAGGGCAGCACCCAGACCAGGCACAGACCCAGCUGCAAGGGUUUCAAAAUUCAGUGUAUUUGAGCCGAACACAGAGCAGCCUGUGCUCACGGCUGUAUAAACCUUCCUCGAGACAGAUUAGCAAUCUCUGCUGGCUUUCCCCUCUUUUGUACAAAAGGGCAGGCGGUGAGGCUCUUUUGGUUUGUUUCAUGUGAAAGAAACAGAUACAGGAUAGUUAUCUCGUGGGAAGGGGUCCCCUAGUGACAGAGAAUUAUUCCCCUGGGAUGCAAGGUGGGCUGGCAGCAUACCCCCCAGCUCCAGCUGCUCUGGCCUGGUCACCUCCCCGUAAAAUCAGCAUGUUUUUCUCAUGCAACGUGAUGGCUAACCAUUAUCCACAGGUAAGACAACCAUUGCUGUCACUGGUGACAAUACUUGGGUCUGACUGCACCUGCUGCAGCCUUGAUUAGAUUGUGUUUAAUGGCAGGCUGCUCAGGGAGAUUACAAGCACGUCGUGGGCACUGGCUCCUCCAGCAUCUGCACACAUUGUCUACAGGGGCUAAUCCACCAUUUCAGACUUGGGGUAUCUUGCCUCUUUGUCCCUUCACCUCUCAAAAACCUCUGCCUCAGAAAUUAUGCUCCCAUGCAGCUGCUGCUCCCUCACCGAUGCCUGCCUACACCAGGGGCUCAGCAUCUGUGGCUUCGUUCCAGCCUGGACCUCACCAUGCUGCCACGCCACUCCUCUGCAUCACCUCCAUCACAUGCCCACCGGCAUGUCCCAAUGUGGCCAAUGUGACCCAGUGGUGGGUGGGGGAUGCCGUUGCCCUUGGGGCAG